UUCUCUCUUCCGUGAAUCGCGUUGCUCGGUGAGAAAGAGAUACAGAGAGAGAUGAGUCCUCGAGCUGCUCAAACAUGCGGAAUCUGCGAGAUAGUCGUGUCCAAGUACAAGUGUCCUUGUUGUCUUGUUCCUUACUGCUCCGUGGGUUGUUUCAAGAAGCACAAAGAGAUUCCAUGUGUUAAACCUUCUUCAACCGACGAAAAGCCUGGUUUGAGUCAUGAUCUGGUACUUGUAGCGACGUCUCCAGCAAAGGAAGUCUCAGUGGAUGUGGUAGAAAAGACAGAAGCCAAGGCUAGUGGUAGUAGCGCUGCGUGUGCAACAAAGGAAGCUCAGGUGGCUGUGGCAAGACCAAUAAAUGUAGAGGAAGCAAAGCAUGCUGUAAAGAAGACACAUCUCGAGGCUACUGUAGCCAGUGAUGCUAGCUUCAGGUGGAAAGACAGAUAACUUUACAUGGGGUGGACAAGACACAGCUCGAGGCUAUUGCUUCUUCUAGUGAAAUCCGAGAAGCUUUAGAAGAUGAAGCCCUACAGAAACUCAUCGCCAGUAUCGAUAGCUCUUCCAACCCUCUCAAGGAACUUGAUGAAGCCAUGGGAGAAGAAGCUUUCCGCAUGCUCAAAGAGAAGAUUCUAUCAAACCUUUCCAAGAAGAAAUGACAGAGAGCAAUGAGAGCGUAGUCAUUAGUCAACAUCCAAACAGAAGUUCCGGAACUAUUCUUGAUUCAUUGUUUUGCGUUACGAAGUUUCAGUCGCAGGAGUGAAAUGUUCAUAUGACUUGUAUAUAUAAUAACCCCACAGAGGAUUACAGAAUACAGAAACUAAAUCUUACAUGUUUGUGGAUUUGCUUGGAGAAAUGAUCCUUUUGUUUUACUCCACAAAUGGAGAUGUAUCUUCUAGUCUUGAAAAUACACAAUGAUACCCUAAACCUAGCGUGU
RNA transcript from Brassica oleracea var. oleracea, 931 nucleotides. It is a transcript of the gene named zinc finger HIT domain-containing protein 3-like, with no coding region annotated. The record is from RefSeq and is a predicted model, not a curated record. The transcript is spliced from 9 exons. Lineage: Eukaryota; Viridiplantae; Streptophyta; Magnoliopsida; Brassicales; Brassicaceae.